CUAAGGAAGGCAUUUAAGUUUGAAGGUUGUGAGCUGCGGGAGAGGAGGCAGUGUUCCAGGGGAGGGAGUAAAGUUCAGGACCUGCGGGAGGGAGGACGCGGAUUGCUGGCGUGUCCUCUGGUUGAGAGUUUAUUGCCCUCUUGGGAAGCCCGAUCCCAGGGUUCGAGGCCAGAGACGCUUGGGCCGCUCCUAGAGUUCCUGCCUAGGCCUUUCAGUUCCAUGGAAGAGAUGUGUGAGGUGACCACCUGAUCCCCAGCAUGGUAUCUUUCUCAUUGCUCCCAUGUUCGUCUGUGCUCCACCUCAGCAGGAGCCUUAGCUGUGAGGCUCUGUGACUCAGCCAAUCUGAAAUGAAUGUAGAGGGCAACCUGCAGCCAUACAAUAAGCAGCAGAUAAAACUGUAGAUGACGCAAAAGAGUUUUUUGCAAGAGAAGCUGAGCCGGUCCCAGCACCCAGAAGGAAGCUCCCUACCACCAUCCCAGGCUCCUAGGGCAGAGAAGCUGAGCAGGUCCCAGCACCUGGAAAGAAGCCUAUCAUUCUUAAGGUAACUAAACCAAUCUCUCAUUUCUUAUGUGAUCCUCAUAACGGCCCUAUGAGAGGAGGAAGGAGUUCUUUUCUUCGUGCUCUACUGGGCAGAAACUGAGGCUCAGAGAGAAUGAGGGCCUAACCCAGAUCACUUGCUUGCGAAUUGGCAGAACCAGGUCUCACCCUAUGGCAUCUACCUUGGGAGCCUCCCAACGGGCCGGUGUGACAGACUCAGCACUG
Non-coding RNA from Heterocephalus glaber (naked mole-rat), 762 nucleotides. NCBI's taxonomy places the organism in Eukaryota, Metazoa, Chordata, Mammalia, Rodentia, Bathyergidae. The record is from RefSeq and is a predicted model, not a curated record.